UCGAGCGGGCAUCCUUGUGUUGUCACCGGCGGACGGGUGAUUAACCCGUGGGAACUUGCCUUCUGGUUCGAAAUACCUCAGGGAAACUUGACCUAUUACCGGAUCCCCCCUUUUUGGGGAAGGGUUUACUGCCAGAAGAUCCGCCCGCGUCUGAUUAGCUAGUUGGGGGGGUAACGGCCUACCAGGGCGACUAUCAAUAGCGGGUCAGAGAGGAUGAUCACCCACACUGGGACAGACACACCGCCCACACUCCUAGGGGAGGCAGCAGUGGGGAAUAUUGGACAAUGGGCGCACGCCUGAUCCACCCAUGCCGCGUGAGUGAUGAACGCCUUAGGGUUGUAAAUCUCUUUUAUCCGGGAAGAUAAUGACGGUACCGGAAGAAUACCCCCCGGCUAACUUCGUGCCAACCCCCGCGGUAAUACGAGGGGGGCUAGCUUUGCUCAAAAUCACUGGGCAUAAAGGGCGCGUAGGCGGUCUUUUAUGUGGGGGGUGAAAGCCUGUGGCUCACCCACAAAAUUGCCUUCUAUACUGGGACACUUGAGUUCGAAAGAGGUUGGUGGAACUGCGAGUGUAGAUGUGAAAUUCAUAUAUAUUCGCAAGAACACCGGUGGCGAGCGCCGCCAACUGGUCCCACACUGACUCUGACGCGCGAAAGCGUGGGGAGCAAACGAGAUUAUAUACCCUGGUACUCCACCCCAUAAACGAUGAAUGCCACCCGUUGGGGGGCUUGCCUCUCAGUGGCGCAUCUAACUCUUUGAGCAUUCCGCCUGGAGAGUACGGUCGCAAGAUUAACACUCAAAUGAAUUGACGGGCGCCC
Molecule: ribosomal RNA, 817 nt
Filed under: Methylobacterium sp.
Lineage: Bacteria; Pseudomonadati; Pseudomonadota; Alphaproteobacteria; Hyphomicrobiales; Methylobacteriaceae
Description: bacterial SSU rRNA
Rfam family: Bacterial small subunit ribosomal RNA
Source: RNAcentral